UGAGAGAUGGAGACGUCUUCUUCUCCUGCUUCUUCGUCUUCAUUUUUUCUUCGAUUCCUUCUUGACAUUCAUCGCCGUCGGUAAAAGAAAUGCACCCAUACCGCCGCCGACACAACUCAAGAAGUAGAAUU
This is a non-coding RNA of Caenorhabditis elegans, 131 nucleotides long. The record is from Ensembl. NCBI's taxonomy places the organism in Eukaryota, Metazoa, Nematoda, Chromadorea, Rhabditida, Rhabditidae.